UACGUAGGGUGCAAGCGUUGUCCGGAAUUAUUGGGCGUAAAGAGCUCGUAGGCGGUUUGUUGCGUCGGCUGUGAAAUCCCGAGGCUCAACCUCGGGUCUGCAGUCGAUACGAGCAAACUAGAGUGUUGCAGGGGAGACUGGAAUUCCUGGUGUAGCGGUGAAAUGCGCAGAUAUCAGGAGGAACACCGGUGGCGAAGGCGGGUCUCUGAGCAACAACUGACGCUGAGGAGCGAAAGCGUGGGGAGCGAACAGG
Molecule: ribosomal RNA, 253 nt
Filed under: uncultured bacterium
Lineage: Bacteria
Description: partial 16S ribosomal RNA
Rfam family: Bacterial small subunit ribosomal RNA
Source: RNAcentral